AACGAACGCUGGCGGCAGGCUUAACACAUGCAAGUCGAACGCAUCGCAAGAUGAGUGGCAGACGGGUGAGUAACGCGUGGGAACAUACCCUUUUCUACGGAAUAGCUCUGGGAAACUGGAAUUAAUACCGUAUACGCCCUACGGGGGAAAGAUUUAUCGGGGAAGGAUUGGCCCGCGUUGGAUUAGGUAGGUGGUGGGGUAAAGGCCUACCAAGGCGACGAUCCAUAGCUGGUCUGAGAGGAUGAUCAGCCACAUUGGGACUGAGACACGGCCCAAACUCCUACGGGAGGCAGCAGUGGGGAAGAUUGGACAAUAGGCGCAAGCCUGAUCCAGCCAUGCCGCGUGAGUGAUGAAGGCCUUAGGGUUGUAAAGCUCUUUCACCGAUGAAGAUAAUGACGGUAGUCGGAGAAGAAGCCCCGGCUAACUUCGUGCCAGCCGCCGCCGUAA
RNAcentral lists this ribosomal RNA (447 nucleotides) under uncultured bacterium. RNAcentral describes it as "partial 16S ribosomal RNA". It matches the Rfam family "Bacterial small subunit ribosomal RNA", at positions 29 to 523 of the family's 1533-position model. The record is from RNAcentral.